GUGGCAGCCCUGACCAGGUGGAAGGACUAGAUCUUUAUUGCCAUCGGGCCGAUCGUUCAUAUCAUAUGGUAAUGGCUGUGGUUAUCAUUCGGCUGGUUGAUACCAUGGAAGUGAAUUUAAUGGAGAAACUAAACAUUUCUGUUUAAAAGUUUUUAUUUCGCAAUUAACUUUGUUUCAGCAUUCUGCAUUAGCCAUUAGUAUUCUUUUUUGUCUAAAAUAUGAUAACACUAUGGAGUAGAGGAAGCAUUGCUUAUACUGAAACUCAGUUCUCCGAUACGAUGGAAGGAAACAAAAGAUCGCCAAUAGCUUUAAAAUCCUACAUAACUUACAAGGCUGAGCUGUUAUGGUCGCGCUGGGAAUGGGAAGAAUCAACGUGCUUUUAAGAACCUAAGACAAUUACAGGAAAGGAAUCAACCGUCGGCGUCCUAACCACUUCAUGUCCACAGUACAUUUUCCACGAAAAUGCACAAUUAAAAACGAAAAAAAUCCAAUUCUGGGUGCCUAGAUAUGUCAUAAUAGUGUGGAUGGUGUUGGCUUCAGUUAAGAAAACAUCCGCUACCACAAAUCCACGCCUGUUUGAUUGAUACGAAGGAGAUUUUUCGUUGUCUUCUUUAUGCUGAUGUUGGAAAUGAAAGUAAGUAUAACCCUUAGGUAUGAAAUUUACGAAAUAGGUUGAUUAAAAAAUUCCGCUCUAAGGACUAGAUGAAAAGACGUUUUAGUUAUUGCAUGGCAAUGGUUUGAUUUACCCUGUUCAAUGGGGGGGAUUAUUUAACAUACCGUACAUAACGUACUGUCGCGCCGACGACAUUUCUAAGCAUCUAUCGGGAAAAUUGUGACCAAAAAAAACGCCACCUAAUGGACAAUUAUUCAGCUCAUGUUGAAGUAGUCGUUGAAAAUGUCGUAACUGAUGAAACGGGAUGAGAUUUUUCAUCUCACUAUAAACUUAUUUUGCAAGGAGGUGACUCGUAAUUGACAAUUAUUUCACUGUCUCUCUAUUCAACAGGCAGUUAUUUUAUGACGAAAGUAGGUAUGGAAAAUUAUGUUUGGUUUUCUAAUCUUGUAAGUUUGCCAGAUUCAGCUGAGUGAACUUGAAGCUUUGAAAAGUUAAUCAAAACAACUGCAAUGGCAGUUCCUAAUUCAGGAAACUUUUGUUUGACAUCUUUCUCAUGUGAACUUUGAAGGGCCUUUUUACAUCAAAAUGCAACCAACCCAGAAAUUGUGCUACAAUAAUGAUCGAAGAUGCUAACAUUUGCCAUUCAUGCUUUACGAUUAAACUUUAGACAGCAUUUUGUUUCUUUGAUUUCUGACUAAAUGAUUCCAACAACAGCCUGGUUGCAGACUUUUAGCCAAUUUAUUGCAGUAUUUAAGAUCCAAUCAUUAACACACACAAAUGCCAAGGUCUUCAUUCUUCGGAAGGGAUGGUAUGCCGGCCUUUGUAAUCUGACACCGAUCUACCAUUGGGACGGCCAACGGCUCUCCUGCACUGGCAGCUGUCUCGAAAAAUUUCAAUAAUAAGAAAGGAAAGAAUUUCUUUAACAAAUUAUUCCAUCUUUUAUAUGCUUUGUCCAUUUUUAUAGAUCCUCUUGACUUUCACAGUGUUUUUGUGGCCAUCUGGACAGAGAAAAAUUUAAAAAACACUAUUUUAAACGAAACAAAUGCCGAAAUGUUGAUCCCUGUCCCGAUUGAACGACUCGCCAGCGGUCGAAAUCUUGUAGACUGAAAAAAAAUAAGCUUUUUUUUUUUUUUUUUUGCUGGCAAUUAUAAAUCACAACAACGGCUACUGGA
RNAcentral lists this long non-coding RNA (1785 nucleotides) under Daphnia magna. Its description in RNAcentral is "uncharacterized LOC116930178, transcript variant X2". Lineage: Eukaryota; Metazoa; Arthropoda; Branchiopoda; Diplostraca; Daphniidae. The record is from RNAcentral.